GUAUAAUUAACAUAAACAUGAAAAAGUCAUUCCGGAACUCCAUUUCUGCUGCCCGUCGAAAAUAUUUGCCCAAGUUUGUAAGCUAACGUUAAUAGUUCCAAAUAGAUGUUUUUUUGUCACUCAUCUCGAGAUAACGCUUCCGUCGUUUCGUUCUGAUAUACCUGUUGUUUUCAAACUGUUGAAUGAGUUUAUAGUUAACUGCUAGAAAAUUAUGAACAUUCAAACAUGAUUUUAGAAAACACACGCAAAACAGCUACCAAAAGGGUUAGCAAAGUCAUAUUUAAAUCAAACAUAUAUUUGCUGAUUAGUUACGCUACAGUAAAUCAUAAAUCCCCUAACCCGACAAGAUAGCUCAACCUAGUAAUACGUUAGUGUUGUUAGAGUGUUUAAUUCCACAUCGCUAAAAAUCUUGAACUGGGAUGUAUAAGGAAACGUAGUGAGUCUGUAACCAGGUAAUGUGCUUAAGGAAACGUAGUGAGUCUGUAACCAGGUAAUGUGUUUAAGGAAGUUCGAAAAGAACGUAAUUAUUGGAUGUAUAUAAGAAAUUGUUGAAAGUCCGUAAUUAGGUUUUGUGAAUAAGGAAAUGGGGAAUGUCUGUAAAUAGUUUUUACGUCUUAACAUUUUGUAAAGUGUAAAUCUGUAACUAGAUAAUGAAACAGAUCGUCUGUAACUAGAUAAUGAAACAGAUCGUCUGUAACUAGUAAUGUGUAAAUAAG
This is a long non-coding RNA of Mizuhopecten yessoensis (Yesso scallop), 716 nucleotides long. RefSeq lists it as uncharacterized. Lineage: Eukaryota; Metazoa; Mollusca; Bivalvia; Pectinida; Pectinidae. The record is from RefSeq and is a predicted model, not a curated record. The transcript is spliced from 2 exons.